AAACCAACAGGGAUUGCCCUAGUAACGGCGAGUGAACAGGCAAGAGCUCAGAUUUGAAAGCCUCUCGGGGCAUUGUAUUCUGAAGCCUUGAUUCUGAGAAACGGUACCUAAGUCUUCUGGAAAGGAGCGCCAAGGAGGGUGAUAGCCCCGUACGGUACUGACCUCAUUGUAGAAUCUUGGCGUGGAGUCGAGUUGUUUGGGAAUGCAGCUCAAAUGGGUGGUAUGCUCCAUCUAAAGCUAAAUAUCUGCGAGAGACCGAUAGCGAACAAGUACUGUGAAGGAAAGAUGAAAAGAACUUUGAAAAGAGAGUGAAAAAGUACGUGAAAUUGUUGAAAUGGAAGGAUAGGCCGCUAACCACGUAGAGCCGUGUCUGAGGGGAGGAUAAAAGCUGUAGAAUGUGACUCUUCGGAGUGUUAUAGCGAUACAGUGCAUACUCCCAUUCGCGCGGGACUAAGACCUAAGGCUCUGCUAAAUGGUGGUCUAUCAC
RNAcentral lists this ribosomal RNA (487 nucleotides) under Starmerella bombicola. Its description in RNAcentral is "eukaryotic LSU rRNA". It matches the Rfam family "Eukaryotic large subunit ribosomal RNA", at positions 62 to 648 of the family's 3401-position model. Lineage: Eukaryota; Fungi; Ascomycota; Dipodascomycetes; Dipodascales; Trichomonascaceae. The record is from RNAcentral.